UUUGUAUGAAAACAGCGUGUCGAAUUUUUAUAUAUAUUUUUUUUAAUAAUGAGAUAGAAUUUUAAUAACCUUAAGAAUGAUUUGAAAUCCAAAAAAACAACAAAAAGUUGACAAAUAAUUUGAGAAAAAUAAAAUUUAAAAAUUAUUUAGAUGUUUGCUGAAUCCUAGAUUACUUAU
This is a non-coding RNA of Caenorhabditis elegans, 177 nucleotides long. The record is from Ensembl. Lineage: Eukaryota; Metazoa; Nematoda; Chromadorea; Rhabditida; Rhabditidae.